UCAGGUCAAUAUUCCAUAGCAACCACACUCAUUAUUUUAACACUCUCAGACUUUGUCCUCCUCAUAUUUAAACCCCCCCUAUCCUGUACCCCUGGGUAUAAUUUUAAAAUGAACUUCACGCGGGUCCAACAAAUCUAUAUCUGCAAAACUUGUUGCUGGGAAGCUAGCUGAGUUCUAUCUGAUUUUUAUGUUCUAGUUUCAUCAACAAACUGAGGGAACCGCGAAUAUCUUGUCGACGAAAAGCAAUUCUAGCUGUUUUCGAGUGAGUCAUCUUCUUUCAAGAUCAAUUUGGCAACUAGAGGUGGAUGUUGAGGCAUAGUCCUGCCCCAAAUUUUCAUUGUCUGGCCUUCUGGAAGACUCAUUGGCCAGCAUGUUGG
Prunus dulcis (almond) is the source of this 377-nucleotide long non-coding RNA. RefSeq lists it as uncharacterized. The transcript has 3 exons. Lineage: Eukaryota; Viridiplantae; Streptophyta; Magnoliopsida; Rosales; Rosaceae. The record is from RefSeq and is a predicted model, not a curated record.